AUAUGAAGUAGCAGCAUCUGUGAUCAUGAGAGGCGGCUCCGGGGAGGGUGUAUCCUGCAUCAUCAGAAAUUCCCUCCUCGGCCUGGAAAAGACAGCCAGCAUUUCCAUCGCAGACCCCUUCUUCAGGAGCGCCCAGCCCUGGAUCGCAGCCCUGGCAGGGACCCUGCCUAUCUUGCUGCUACUUCUCGCCGGAGCCAGUUACUUCUUGUGGAGACAACAGAAGGAAAUAACUGCUCUGUCCAGUGAGAUAGAAAGUGAGCAAGAGAUGAAAGAAAUGGGAUAUGCUGCAACAGAGCAGGAAAUAAGCCUAAGAGAGAGCCUCCAGGAGGAACUCAGUAAGUUACCAUUCCCCCAGAGAUCCAGACAUGUCUUCCUAUCCUCGCUUUGAGCACCUUGAUGACUCUUCCCUGUUCAUUCCAUUGCAGAGAGGAAAAAAAUCCAGUACUUGACUCAUGAGUGGCUUUGACAUUUUCUCUGAAUUCAAAUCUAUUACUCUCUCUCUGCUUCAUUGUUUUCCAGCCCAUAAGUCAUAGCCCAGGGUUGAAAAGUGGUCUUGGAUCCCUUUACCCAGAAAAAGAAAACAAGUGUGGCUCUUUGGAGAAACCACCCAGUGCUUUUUCUCUCUAGAAAAAAAAAAAAAAAAAA
RNAcentral lists this small RNA (645 nucleotides) under Pan troglodytes (chimpanzee). Its description in RNAcentral is "retained intron". Lineage: Eukaryota; Metazoa; Chordata; Mammalia; Primates; Hominidae. The record is from RNAcentral.